GUGCGAAUGCUGACAUGAGUAGCGAUAAACGAAGGUGAAAGUCCUUGUCGCCGAAAACCCAAGGUUUCCUACGCAACGUUCAUCGGCGUAGGGUGAGUCGGCCCCUAAGGCGAGGCAGAAAUGCGUAGUCGAUGGGAAACAGGUUAAUAUUCCUGUACCGAUAUGGAAUGCGAUGGGGGACGGAGAAGGGUAGGUCAGCCAACUGUUGGAAUAGUUGGUUCAAGCGUGUAGGCGUGCUCUGUAGGCAAAUCCGCAGAGCUUAGCUGAGGCGUGAUAACGAGGUGCCACGUGCACUGAAGUGAUUGAUCCCAUGCUUCCAGGAAAAGCCUCUAAGCUUCAGUUCCAUAUUGACCGUACUGCAAACCGACACAGGUGGGUAGGGUGAGAAUCCUAAGGCGCUUGAGAGAACUCAGGAGAAGGAACUCGGCAAAUUAACACCGUAACUUCGGGAGAAGGUGUGCCCUUGUAGGGUGAAGUCCCUUGCGGAUGGAGCUCGAAAGGGUUGCAGUGAAAAGGUGG
Molecule: ribosomal RNA, 519 nt
Filed under: uncultured bacterium
Lineage: Bacteria
Description: bacterial LSU rRNA
Rfam family: Bacterial large subunit ribosomal RNA
Source: RNAcentral